GCCCCCGUGUGCGGACUCAGCGAGAAGGCAGCUGUCUGCAAGCCAGCAAGGGAGAACCCGACCGGGCUGGCCCCACCGAGUCCACGCUGUUUUAUGAUGGCAGCCCGAGCUGCCCAUGACGCUGUUCAGGGACCAACAAGUGAGCUCUGAGAAAACAGUGAAAAGAUUUUCGGUGCUUUGAAAGAUACCUUUCAAUUGUCUUGCCGAGAGCGUCCCACUGUGCUGUAUUUGAAAGGGCACGAGAGACAGAACCACUGGUCUGGAGGAAAGGGACGACCACAGAGACAGGACUCUUCCGUGCUUGAAGCCGGAGACAGAUAAUUGGAUGGCACACGAGCACACAGGGGGACAUUUGGACACAGACACCUGCCCACGAGGAGAGCACCAUGUGAUGAUGAAGGGAGAGAUCAAGGCGAUGCAUCUACAAGCCAAGGAAUGCCAGAGGUGGCUAGCACACCAGCAAGCGCUAUGAGAGAGGCCUGCAACGGAUUCUCCCUUGCAGACCCUCCCUCAGGAGGAAGCAGCCCUGCGGGCGCCCUUAUCCUGGAAGUCCGGCCUCCAGAACUGGAAGACAAUACAUUUCUGCUGUCUAAGACA
This is a long non-coding RNA of Neofelis nebulosa (Clouded leopard), 597 nucleotides long. RefSeq lists it as uncharacterized. Lineage: Eukaryota; Metazoa; Chordata; Mammalia; Carnivora; Felidae. The transcript is spliced from 2 exons. The record is from RefSeq and is a predicted model, not a curated record.